CAAAGAAGGUAAUAAUCCUGUAGUCGAAAAUGUUGUCUCUCUUGAGUGGAUCCUGAGUACGACGGAGCACGUGAAAUUCCGUCGGAAUCUGGGAGGACCAUCUCCUAAGGCUAAAUACUCUCUAGUGACCGAUAGUGAACCAGUACCGUGAGGGAAAGGUGAAAAGCACCCCGGAAGGGGAGUGAAAUAGAACCUGAAACCGUGUGCUUACAAGUAGUCAGAGCCCGUUAAUGGGUGAUGGCGUGCCUUUUGUAGAAUGAACCGGCGAGUUACGAUUUGAUGCAAGGUUAAGCAGUAAAUGUGGAGCCGUAGCGAAAGCGAGUCUGAAUAGGGCGUUUAGUAUUUGGUCGUAGACCCGAAACCAGGUGAUCUACCCUUGGUCAGGUUGAAGUUCAGGUAACACUGAAUGGAGGACCGAACCGACUUACGUUGAAAAGUGAGCGGAUGAACUGAGGGUAGCGGAGAAAUUCCAAUCGAACCUGGAGAUAGCUGGUUCUCUCCGAAAUAGCUUUAGGGCUAGCCUCAAGUGAUGAUUAUUGGAGGUAGAGCACUGUUUGGACGAGGGGCCCCUCUCGGGUUACCGAAUUCAGACAAACUCCGAAUGCCAAUUAAUUUAACUUGGGAGUCAGAACAUGGGUGAUAAGGUCCGUGUUCGAAAGGGAAACAGCCCAGACCACCAGCUAAGGUCCCAAAAUAUAUGUUAAGUGGAAAAGGAUGUGGCGUUGCCCAGACAACUAGGAUGUUGGCUUAGAAGCAGCCAUCAUUUAAAGAGUGCGUAAUAGCUCACUAGUCGAGUGACACUGCGCCGAAAAUGUACCGGGGCUAAACAUAUUACCGAAGCUGUGGAUUGUCCUUUGGACAAUGGUAGGAGAGCGUUCUAAGGGCGUUGAAGCAUGAUCGUAAGGACAUGUGGAGCGCUUAGAAGUGAGAAUGCCGGUGUGAGUAGCGAAAGACGGGUGAGAAUCCCGUCCACCGAUUGACUAAGGUUUCCAGAGGAAGGCUCGUCCGCUCUGGGUUAGUCGGGUCCUAAGCUGAGGCCGACAGGCGUAGGCGAUGGAUAACAGGUUGAUAUUCCUGUACCACCUAUAAUCGUUUUAAUCGAUGGGGGGACGCAGUAGGAUAGGCGAAGCGUGCGAUUGGAUUGCACGUCUAAGCAGUAAGGCUGAGUAUUAGGCAAAUCCGGUACUCGUUAAGGCUGAGCUGUGAUGGGGAGAAGACAUUGUGUCUUCGAGUCGUUGAUUUCACACUGCCGAGAAAAGCCUCUAGAUAGAAAAUAGGUGCCCGUACCGCAAACCGACACAGGUAGUCAAGAUGAGAAUUCUAAGGUGAGCGAGCGAACUCUCGUUAAGGAACUCGGCAAAAUGACCCCGUAACUUCGGGAGAAGGGGUGCUCUUUAGGGUUAACGCCCAGAAGAGCCGCAGUGAAUAGGCCCAAGCGACUGUUUAUCAAAAACACAGGUCUCUGCUAAACCGUAAGGUGAUGUAUAGGGGCUGACGCCUGCCCGGUGCUGGAAGGUUAAGAGGAGUGGUUAGCUUCUGCGAAGCUACGAAUCGAAGCCCCAGUAAACGGCGGCCGUAACUAUAACGGUCCUAAGGUAGCGAAAUUCCUUGUCGGGUAAGUUCCGACCCGCACGAAAGGCGUAACGAUUUGGGCACUGUCUCAACGAGAGACUCGGUGAAAUCAUAGUACCUGUGAAGAUGCAGGUUACCCGCGACAGGACGGAAAGACCCCGUGGAGCUUUACUGUAGCCUGAUAUUGAAAUUCGGCACAGCUUGUACAGGAUAGGUAGGAGCCUUUGAAACGUGAGCGCUAGCUUACGUGGAGGCGCUGGUGGGAUACUACCCUAGCUGUGUUGGCUUUCUAACCCGCACCACUUAUCGUGGUGGGAGACAGUGUCAGGCGGGCAGUUUGACUGGGGCGGUCGCCUCCUAAAAGGUAACGGAGGCGCUCAAAGGUUCCCUCAGAAUGGUUGGAAAUCAUUCAUAGAGUGUAAAGGCAUAAGGGAGCUUGACUGCGAGACCUACAAGUCGAGCAGGGUCGAAAGACGGACUUAGUGAUCCGGUGGUUCCGCAUGGAAGGGCCAUCGCUCAACGGAUAAAAGCUACCCCGGGGAUAACAGGCUUAUCUCCCCCAAGAGUUCACAUCGACGGGGAGGUUUGGCACCUCGAUGUCGGCUCAUCGCAUCCUGGGGCUGUAGUCGGUCCCAAGGGUUGGGCUGUUCGCCCAUUAAAGCGGUACGCGAGCUGGGUUCAGAACGUCGUGAGACAGUUCGGUCCCUAUCCGUCGUGGGCGUAGGAAAUUUGAGAGGAGCUGUCCUUAGUACGAGAGGACCGGGAUGGACAUACCUCUGGUGUACCAGUUGUCGUGCCAACGGCAUAGCUGGGUAGCUAUGUGUGGACGGGAUAAGUGCUGAAAGCAUCUAAGCAUGAAGCCCCCCUCAAGAUGAGAUU
Molecule: ribosomal RNA, 2451 nt
Filed under: Staphylococcus aureus
Lineage: Bacteria; Bacillati; Bacillota; Bacilli; Caryophanales; Staphylococcaceae
Description: partial 23S ribosomal RNA
Rfam family: Bacterial large subunit ribosomal RNA
Source: RNAcentral